AAGUCGUAACAAGGUCUCCGUAGGUGAACCUGCGGAGGGAUCAUUACAAAAACGAUAAAGAGUUGCAAGACUCGACAACCAUCGCGAACGUACCUCGUCGUUGCUUCGGCGGGCGGCCCCCCGGCCCUGGUGCCGGGGGCGCCCCUGGGCCCGCCUGUCGGGCGCCCGCCGGAGGACCAAAACAACACCUCUGUUUUCUCUACCGCCUCUGAGUCGACUAGCAAAAUCAGUUAAAACUUUCAACAACGGAUCUCUUGGUUCUG
RNAcentral lists this unclassified non-coding RNA (263 nucleotides) under air metagenome. RNAcentral describes it as "partial contains small subunit ribosomal RNA, internal transcribed spacer 1, and 5.8S ribosomal RNA". The stretch from base 1 to 46 matches the Rfam family "Eukaryotic small subunit ribosomal RNA", at positions 1786 to 1831 of the family's 1831-position model. The record is from RNAcentral.